Tupaia belangeri chinensis (Chinese tree shrew) is the source of this 333-nucleotide long non-coding RNA. RefSeq lists it as uncharacterized. NCBI's taxonomy places the organism in Eukaryota, Metazoa, Chordata, Mammalia, Scandentia, Tupaiidae. The transcript has 4 exons. The record is from RefSeq and is a predicted model, not a curated record.
CAAAAAUAACAACUUCUUAGUGGAAGCAAAAGAGCUAGACUGAGAAGAGGUGCUGUUAAUUUCAGCCCUAUUUAUACCAUCACUGGCUACAGGCACUGUCGGCUCACUCUCUAAGGAUCCAUCCUGGAGAUUCCAGUAUAGCGGGGGCUGAACCGUCGCUGGUCAUUAUCUGUCUUCUGAGAGAUACAUUCUAAGCUACAUGACAUACAGACAUUUGGAAGCAAAGCAUAGGAAAAUAUCAUACAGACCCUCCGCCUCCCUGCCAAGCUAUCAAAUGUGAAAAUAACAGCAACAUCAACUAAUGUCAACUGAGUUCCUUCUUUGUAUCAGACC